UGCUGUAGGUAAGUCUGUAGAUUAUUAGUAUGCUGUAGGUCAGUCUGUAGAUCAUCAGUACGCUGUAGGUCAGUGUGUAGAUUAUUAGUAUGCUGUAGGUCAGUCUGUAGAUCAUCAGUACGCUGUAGGUCAGUCUGUAGAUCAUUAGUAUGCUGUAGGUCAGUCUGUA
Astyanax mexicanus (Mexican tetra) is the source of this 169-nucleotide long non-coding RNA. RefSeq lists it as uncharacterized. The record is from RefSeq and is a predicted model, not a curated record. NCBI's taxonomy places the organism in Eukaryota, Metazoa, Chordata, Actinopteri, Characiformes, Acestrorhamphidae. The transcript has 3 exons.